UAACGGAUUGUCACACUUAGACACAUCAGC
RNAcentral lists this non-coding RNA (30 nucleotides) under Rattus norvegicus (Norway rat). Lineage: Eukaryota; Metazoa; Chordata; Mammalia; Rodentia; Muridae. The record is from RNAcentral.